Molecule: long non-coding RNA, 860 nt
Organism: Myotis davidii
Lineage: Eukaryota; Metazoa; Chordata; Mammalia; Chiroptera; Vespertilionidae
Exons: 2
Source: RefSeq, a predicted model, not a curated record
CUCUGUUUGACAGCGCGGCCCUGCUGGCUUCCUGCUCUGCUCUGUGGCCUUGGACACGCUUCUAAGCCAAUCCCUUCAGGCCCUGGCCAUGCCCAGUGCCAGUCACCUGGGGUGGAUGCUUAUUUUGUUUCAAACACAUGAACAUGUCCUCAUUGUGUAGAGGCAAUGUUUGGGACGCUCUGCAAACAGUAUCUCAGUGACUGCUCACGACAACUCUAUGGUGCAAUCACUUUGUCGUGCCCAUUUUACAGAUGAGGACAGAAAGCCUCCAUGAGCCCACUGCUUCCGUCUGCACAGAGCAGUCCCACCAUCACCGUCACAGCCGAGCACAGAGCAGUCCCGGGACCCGGGGGGAGGCCGACCACUGCUCUUCCCGACCUAACGCUGCAGCCACGGGGGCCCCGGGUGCGAAGCAGCUGACAUUCACUCACUGAGCUGGGACUGAGCUGAGCUCUUAAAAUGUCAAGCUCUGUCUCGUCACUGAAUAUUUUACACCAAAGCUUCCUAAUUAGGGAUAUGCUUUAUGUAAAAAAUCGCUUGCCUAGAAAUGAUCAAAACAAUUAGAAGCAAAACCCUGCUAAUUUUUAUUUACUGCCACAUAAAUAUAAUAUUUAAGGUGAAAAUAUGGAAUUGUUUUCCUUGGGGUCAGUUCAUGUUGUCUGGAUGCCCGUGAAGAACUUAAAAGCAUUUUAUGGCUGUUAAUGGAACUUGGUAAAAAGUGUUGAUUAAAGGCGAGCAUGGGGAAUUCCUUAUGUAUGACACAUCUCCAUAACAUAUGAUGAAACGCAUUUUGUAUUAAUUUAUUACGGAAAAGGUAGUCAAAAUUAAUCAAACAUUAUAAAGUGAGUUCCCUUAAUCUA